RNAcentral lists this transfer RNA (72 nucleotides) under Ictidomys tridecemlineatus (thirteen-lined ground squirrel). RNAcentral describes it as "Spermophilus tridecemlineatus (thirteen-lined ground squirrel) tRNA". It matches the Rfam family "tRNA". Rfam says of the family: Transfer RNA (tRNA) molecules are approximately 80 nucleotides in length. Their secondary structure includes four short double-helical elements and three loops (D, anti-codon, and T loops). Lineage: Eukaryota; Metazoa; Chordata; Mammalia; Rodentia; Sciuridae. The record is from Rfam by way of RNAcentral. RNAcentral also lists the same sequence under 1 other name.
GGGGAUGUAGUUCAGUGGUAGAGCAUUUGCCUAGCAUGCAUGAGACCCUGAGUUCAAUCUCCAGCAUACAUA